Homo sapiens (human) is the source of this 734-nucleotide long non-coding RNA. Ensembl annotates it as long intergenic non-protein coding RNA 2103. The record is from Ensembl. Lineage: Eukaryota; Metazoa; Chordata; Mammalia; Primates; Hominidae.
GAGAGCAGGAGAGUUAACAGACCUGUGACAAAAACAAUUAAAAGUUUAAGAACUGAGUGGUGGAAGUAGGAUAGUCCUUAUCAACAUCUUUCUCCCUGACCUACAGAUAAAUAUAUGUUCCUGUCACCACACACUUAGACCGAAGUAAGUCCUGAAGCAGGAAAUCAGUGAGUUUCACAGCUUUCUGAGCCACUACGCAACCCAGGAAGCCCAGAUGGCCCCUCCUUUCAGUAUCAUCAAUCAGAGCUUAAGGAGGGCAAGAUACUUGAAGUCUAACUCACCAAGAGGAUGAAGUUCUCAUCAUUCCAUCUGACGAACAAGCGAGAACUAGCCAAGUGCUGGCCAAAGCUGCAGUGACUGACUCUCAUCUCUGAACACGAGGAGCGGUCUCGGAGUAGUCAUGGACCCAGAAAUGGGUCUCAGGCAAGGCCACUGUUGUGCCCUCCUAAGCAUGAGCUGUAGCAACGUCAGCAUCCAGUCCAACUGGGCUAAACUCGGGUCCAGCUGGGAACUUCUGUGCCCCUAGGGGCCCAGAUCUGGUGAAUUAUUUUUCUACAAAGAUUUUUAUUAAUAAGAGACUGGAGAUACUACAUAGAUGCGUCUUUCUCUUCUUCCCUCAAGGAACUGAUCUGCUAUCUGUGGUUCUGAGUAAACUCAUAGACAUAUCACACGACAGAGAAAUCCUAUUUGUUUUCUUUGAAACUAUGCUCAGUUUAAUAAAACCCUACCUUUUA